AACGGAAACGAUGUUAGCUUGCUAACAGGCGUCGAGUGGCGGACGGGUGAGUAACGCGUAGGAAUCUACCAAAUAGCGGGGGAUAGCCCGGAGAAAUCCGGAUUAAUACCGCAUAAUCUCUACGGUAGUUAAAGGGGGGCCUUCUAGUUUUAUAAGCUUUCACUAUUUGAUGAGCCUGUGUAAGAUUAGCUUGUUGGUGAGGUAAAAGCUCACCAAGGCGACGAUCUUUAGCUGGUCUGAGAGGAUGAUCAGCCACACUGGGACUGAGGCACGGCCCAGACUCC
RNAcentral lists this ribosomal RNA (284 nucleotides) under unidentified marine bacterioplankton. RNAcentral's name for it is "partial 16S ribosomal RNA". It matches the Rfam family "Bacterial small subunit ribosomal RNA", at positions 65 to 339 of the family's 1533-position model. The record is from RNAcentral.